This 465-nucleotide ribosomal RNA is filed under the name uncultured bacterium. Its description in RNAcentral is "partial 16S ribosomal RNA". It matches the Rfam family "Bacterial small subunit ribosomal RNA", at positions 28 to 507 of the family's 1533-position model. The record is from RNAcentral.
GACGAACGCUGGCGGCGUGCUUAACACAUGCCAGUCGAACGGAAAGGCCCUCCUUGCAGGGUACUCGAGUGGCGAACGGGUGAGUAACACGUGGGUGAUCUGCCCUGCACUUCGGGAUAAGCCUGGGAAACUGGGUCUAAUACCGGAUAGGAGCCAUUUUUAGUGUGAUGGUUGGAAAGUUUUUUCGGUGUAGGAUGAGCUCGCGGCCUAUCAGCUUGUUGGUGGGGUAAUGGCCUACCAAGGCGGCGACGGGUAGCCGGCCUGAGAGGGUGGACGGCCACAUUGGGACUGAGAUACGGCCCAGACUCCUACGGGAGGCAGCAGUGGGGAAUAUUGCACAAUGGGCGCAAGCCUGAUGCAGCGACGCCGCGUGGGGGAUGACGGCCUUCGGGUUGUAAACUCCUUUCGCUAGGGACGAAGCUUUUUGUGACGGUACCUAGAUAAGAAGCACCGGCUAACUACGUG